RNAcentral lists this small RNA (29 nucleotides) under Sinorhizobium meliloti 2011. RNAcentral's name for it is "putative ncRNA". Lineage: Bacteria; Pseudomonadati; Pseudomonadota; Alphaproteobacteria; Hyphomicrobiales; Rhizobiaceae. The record is from RNAcentral.
AGUGCGUGGGUUCGGUCUUAAAAUCCAAG